Oncorhynchus gorbuscha (pink salmon) is the source of this 564-nucleotide long non-coding RNA. RefSeq lists it as uncharacterized. Lineage: Eukaryota; Metazoa; Chordata; Actinopteri; Salmoniformes; Salmonidae. The transcript is spliced from 2 exons. The record is from RefSeq and is a predicted model, not a curated record.
UCCAAAUCUCAAAUUGUCUGAUAUAGUUGUUAUAACAUAUUGAAAAUUAACCAGAACUAACCCAGUGAUAAUGACCGGGUAUUGAUGAGUGACUUGUUGCCAAUCGAAAAACUGAUAUAAGCGAGCUAACGUUAGCUGGCUAAUACACUUAACCUGUUUUGCAUUUCCUAAUUCAUUUUCAUUAACUUAAUCAUUGACACACCCCUCACUACUGUCAUUGGUUACACUAAUUGCAGUGUGUCUACAUAACCUGGUUCAAGUAUUCAUGACAUUACCCUGAGGAAUGCACAGUGAUGCUGAAACGUUGCGAGGCCCUGCAAGCGGAGGCUCUAGCCAGGAUGGAGGCUGCUAACCCAGCCAAGUUUGGGCCUGAAGUACUGUCUGAAAGGAGGUCCCCUGCUCCAGCACCACCCAAGGAGAUGACAGGGAAAGACCGCGCUCAGAUGCUAGCUGCACAGGACUAAGACUGGAAGGAAUCAUGGACUGAACUGUUAUUUAGUAGUAUAUAAUGUUUCACUGGAAAUAUUGUGGACGUUUCUGUACAUUAAAGAAAACCAGACAGGA